This 253-nucleotide ribosomal RNA is filed under the name uncultured bacterium. RNAcentral describes it as "partial 16S ribosomal RNA". It matches the Rfam family "Bacterial small subunit ribosomal RNA", at positions 524 to 776 of the family's 1533-position model. The record is from RNAcentral.
UACAGAGGAGCCAAGCGUUGUCCGGAUUGACUGGGCGUAAAGCGCACGCAGGCGGUCGGGCGCGUGGGGUGUGAAAUCUGGCCGCUUAACGGCCAGGCGCCAUCCCAUACGGCUCGACUGGAGUGAUGCAGAGGUCGAUGGAAUUGCCGGUGUAGUGGUGAAAUGCGUAGAGAUCGGCAGGAACACCCAGGGGGAAACCAGUCGACUGGGCAUCUACUGACGCUGAGGCGCGAAAGCUAGGGGAGCAAACGGG